CGAUAAGCCGCCCUUCCCGUGUUGCCUUUAUUCCUUAAACUGCCUGUAUUUGUAACGUUUGGGUGUAUUUGGGGUUCGGCUGUGGAGCCGCUGCUGUGGAAAUGCAGCAUGCUCCCUUGGCGUUGGCUGGACAAAAUGGCGGUGGCUCGGCCCUGGCAGCCAGCGCCAUUGACGGUGGUGUCAGGCUGCAGGUAAAGAUUGUUAAUCGAAACAGAAAACUAGAUUGGGGGUGCAUCUCUGAUACAAUUUCUCAUUCAGGAAGCAGUCUGUUGAAGCGAUCGCUUUGCCUUUUUUGGUAAGAAUGUCGAUGGGUGACUUGAGGUAAAGCACUCCUCAGCGCAGAGCCGUUGCCCGUAGUUUUUCAAAUGGGCAGACACAGGCUGUGGCCUCUUCAAAACCAGGUCUAACAGAGAAACGGUGACAGCCUCUUCGUAAUUCUCCAACAGCAGAUAAAAGGAUUGGAAGGUAACUGCCAAUUAAGUGCUUCAUAAUUGAUACAAGAAUAAUUGUACAAGGAAAUAAAAAUGUCUGAUAACAGAUCUGUAUGAGGGAGAGCAGGUACAGAACACUGUCUUUCAUAAGACAAAUUUAUUAGUGGGAAAAGAUGACUCCACAUUCCUUUUCUGUAACCGCUUUUGAGCGGUGCUGAAUGUCUUGUGGACUGUUUCAUUCUUGCAUCCCUCAGACCAAAACGGAGGCAUCAAUAUUGACAGCAGCAGUGUUAAAAGUUAAUGCCUGUGAAUUACCAUGUUGAGCACAUGGACCAUAAAAAAUGUGCUAACUAACAGGUGACCUGAGUUUCUGCGUGUCUUGAACAGACCUGAACCAGAAAAAUGCCAUUCAGAGUUCACUGAUUUGGGUUUGAAGUAGAUCAGCAGAUUUAACCUGAGAAGUGACAGGUACAGGCAGACAUCCACCUCCAACUGUGCAACAGGCUGAAGAUGAUUCAGUUGGAGAGCAGUCAGAGAUCUGGGAUGCUCAGUCCAGUUCACUGCUUUCCUGUGUUAGCUCAGGACUAGAAGAAUGUAGUGGAGCAUGCAUCUGGCAGUGUGACAUUAUUCCUAUGGUGUGCAGUGUGCCCUUCAUGUGGAGAAUCACCAAAGUCAUUUCUGCUGCAGUCAUCUAGGCAUGAGGAGUUGUACUGUGUGCACUGAGGAGAGCUGGAAAGGGCAAUGGUGUCAUCACCUGAGGGGAAACAAUCAGAAAGAAAUGAGGAGGGGAAAUUUUAUCGCUUAUUUUUAGACUCCGUGGGUGAGUAUUAUUUUCAGCUUUGUCUGUAUUAAUUUCUGCAGAACACUGUGCCAACGUGUGACUGGCUGCCUACGAACAGAUCAUUGUAAUUUCUAGCUAAGGCUGAAGCAAUCAGUCACUAGCAAUCCCUGGAGACUCGAAUCUACCCAUUUGUACCAAGAUAAGGUAGCAGCCAAAGACAUGCAGUGUAGAUAUGUUCGAGACAUCUAUAAGCUAGCUAGUUGAGAAAUAAACCUUACCACAUGUAUUAUACUAGAUGAGCUCAGAAAUAUUUGUCCAUGACACUGGGUCAGUCUUUCAUGUAGCUCAAGAUAUUCUGUCACUGGAUUUAACAUGAGUUAGUUUAAAGCUAACUUUUGAUACAUGGAGCUGUUCCCAUACUUGUGAUUGCAUACCUUCUGCAUUUACCUUCUGCCUUCAGCACAAGACUACACUCUCAUAGGCUUCCUUGAAGAACAUGCUGCUUGUUAAUCAGCACUUUAUUGUUUCAGUAUGCUUAAAAUAAGCAUUUUGUCACAUUCAAGAAGAAGAAACUUUAUUGGUUUGCAUUCUGGCACCAUGCUUCACGUUGUCAAGUGCUGUCAUUUGGCUUCUUUCUGUAACUUAUUUACAGAGAGAGGGAGCUUGAGAUUGAAACAUUCUGGUAACAAUUUUCACCAGGUACAUAUUGUAUGUGUUUUAGAAGUAUCUCUAAUCUUAGAAAGAACAAGAGACAGAAUGGGUAAUAGUCUGUUCUGGUGUGCUGGAGAGGUCUAGCCUCUAGUUGCUGCAUAGGACAGGGAAAAAGCAAAAAUUCCACUGUUGCACAGUGAACGUAAGCAAAGAAGACAGCAUCUUACCAAAGGACAUUCUGAUUUCCUUUAUAAACAGCUAAGAAGCAGCUUUACUGCAUCCCUCACUCAGUAUUAAGGAAGGGACCUUUGAGGGGACAAUAGAUGUUAUGCCUACCAAAAUUCUCUUUGACUGCCUUAGAAUGUGUCUGUAGUCUAAGCAGCAGU
Molecule: long non-coding RNA, 2249 nt
Organism: Pezoporus flaviventris
Lineage: Eukaryota; Metazoa; Chordata; Aves; Psittaciformes; Psittacidae
Exons: 3
Source: RefSeq, a predicted model, not a curated record